UACGGAGGGUGCAAGCGUUAAUCGGAAUCACUGGGCGUAAAGCGCACGUAGGCGGCUUGGUAAGUCAGGGGUGAAAUCCCACAGCCUAACUGUGGAACUGCCUUUGAUACUGCCAGGCUUGAGUACCGGAGAGGGUGGCGGAAUUCCAGGUGUAGGAGUGAAAUCCGUAGAUAUCUGGAGGAACACCGGUGGCGAAGGCGGCCACCUGGACGGUAACUGACGCUGAGGUGCGAAAGCGUGGGUAGCAAACAGG
This 253-nucleotide ribosomal RNA is filed under the name Bilophila wadsworthia. RNAcentral describes it as "partial 16S ribosomal RNA". It matches the Rfam family "Bacterial small subunit ribosomal RNA", at positions 524 to 776 of the family's 1533-position model. Lineage: Bacteria; Pseudomonadati; Thermodesulfobacteriota; Desulfovibrionia; Desulfovibrionales; Desulfovibrionaceae. The record is from RNAcentral.